GGACCUGCCCAGUGACUAAGAUGUUAAACGGCCGCGGUACCCUAACCGUGCAAAGGUAGCAUAAUCAUUUGCCUUUUAAUUGGAGGCUUGUAUGAAUGGUUUGACGAGAGCUAAGCUGUCUCUUUUGAAUUAUAUAAAAAUUAACUUUUAGGUGAAGAGGCUUAAAUUUAUUUAAGGGACAAGAAGACCCUGUUGAGCUUUAGUGGGUCUAUGGAUAAUUGGGUUAGUGAUCUGAUCCUGUCUAUGUAUAAAUAUAAUGAAAUUUUGUAGCUAAUCUUUAGUUGGGGCGACUGAGGAACAUUAAGAGCUUCCUUUAAUUAGGUUAUGAAAAAUAGUGUUUGCUUUCUAGUUUGAGUUGAUCCGAUAGUUAUCGAUUAAGGGAAAAAGUUACCACAGGGAUAACAGCGUAAUCUUUCUGGAGAGAUCUUAUCGAAAGGAGGGUUUGCGACCUCGAUGUUGGACUAAGAUAUCCUGAGGGUGUAGAAGUUCUCGAAGGUUGGUCUGUUCGACCAUUAAAAUCUUACGUGAUCUGAGU
This 535-nucleotide ribosomal RNA is filed under the name Chlorodiloma adelaidae. Its description in RNAcentral is "partial 16S ribosomal RNA". It matches the Rfam family "Bacterial large subunit ribosomal RNA", at positions 1854 to 2610 of the family's 2925-position model. The record is from RNAcentral. Lineage: Eukaryota; Metazoa; Mollusca; Gastropoda; Trochida; Trochidae.